GCCCGUGAUUAGGACACAUCCUGAUCAAACCUUGAUAUCUUUGCCAAGCAUCAUGAAGGCUCUCUCCAUCAAACUGAAUGAAACGAGUGAUCUUAUCCCUGAACUC
Brachypodium distachyon (stiff brome) is the source of this 106-nucleotide non-coding RNA. The record is from Rfam. Lineage: Eukaryota; Viridiplantae; Streptophyta; Magnoliopsida; Poales; Poaceae.